AUUGAACGCUGGCGGCGUGCCUAACACAUGCAAGUCGAGCGGUAACAGGUGUAGCAAUACAUGCUGACGAGCGGCGAACGGGUGAGUAAUGCUUCGGAAUCUACCUUAUGGUGGGGAAUAACUAGCCGAAAGGUUAGCUAAUACCGCAUACGUCCUACGGGAGAAAGACAGGGGAGUCGUAAGACCUUGCGCCAAAAGAUGAGCCGAAGUCGGAUUAGCUAGUUGGUAGGGUAACGGCCACCAAGGCGACGAUCCGUAGCUGGUCUGAGAGGACGACCAGCCACACUGGGACUGAGACACGGCCCAGACUCCUACGGGAGGGCAGCAGUGGGGAAGUAUUGGACAAUGGGGGAAACCCGUCGAUCCAGCGACGCCGCGUGUGUAAAGAAGGCC
RNAcentral lists this ribosomal RNA (393 nucleotides) under uncultured bacterium. RNAcentral's name for it is "bacterial SSU rRNA". It matches the Rfam family "Bacterial small subunit ribosomal RNA", at positions 29 to 416 of the family's 1533-position model. The record is from RNAcentral.